Molecule: ribosomal RNA, 56 nt
Filed under: Oregus septentrionalis
Lineage: Eukaryota; Metazoa; Arthropoda; Insecta; Coleoptera; Carabidae
Description: partial 16S ribosomal RNA
Source: RNAcentral
AGUACGAAAGGACCAAAUAUUUAAUAUAUUAAUAUUUAAAAAUUUUGAAUAUUAUU